RNAcentral lists this unclassified non-coding RNA (211 nucleotides) under Hevea brasiliensis (rubber tree). The record is from RNAcentral. Lineage: Eukaryota; Viridiplantae; Streptophyta; Magnoliopsida; Malpighiales; Euphorbiaceae.
GUGUGAGGUCUCAACUAAAAUUAGGAUUUGCUGCGAAAUAAGCAAGCACACCAACAAAUGGUGCAUUAAUAUAUGUAGUGGGCUCAGACUUCUUAUAAUCGGCUCGAUCAUCUCCAUACGAGUCAUCUUCACUAGGUCCACCCACAAUUGCACCCACAAGCACAUUAGGAUUAGGAUUUGUUGAGUUGAAGUAAACUGAACCCUCUUUGCA